GACGAACGCUGGCGGCGUGCCUAACACAUGCAAGUCGAACGGAAAGGCCCUGCUUUUGUGGGGUUCUCGAGUGGCGAACGGGUGAGUAACACGUGUGUAUCCUGCCCUUGACUUUGGUAUAACUUCAGGAAACUGGGGCUAAUACCGGAUAGGAUCUCCUGCUCCAUGGUGGGCGUUGGAAAGUUUCGGCGGUUGGGGAUGGACUCGCGGCUUAUCAGCUUGUUGGUGGGGUAGUGGCUUACCAAGGCUUUGACGGGUAGCCGGCCUGAGAGGGUGACCGGCCACAUUGGGACUGAGAGACGGCCCAGACUCGUACGGGAGGCAGAAGUGGGGAAUAUUGCACAAUGGGCGGAAGCCUGAUGCAGAAACGCCGCGGGCGGGAUGACGGCCUUCGGGUUGUAAACCGCUUUCGCCUGUGACGAAGCGUGAGUGACGGUAAUGGGUAAAGAAGCACCGGCUAACUACGUG
This 468-nucleotide ribosomal RNA is filed under the name uncultured bacterium. Its description in RNAcentral is "partial 16S ribosomal RNA". It matches the Rfam family "Bacterial small subunit ribosomal RNA", at positions 28 to 507 of the family's 1533-position model. The record is from RNAcentral.